CCCCUUUUUGACAUCAUCAAACAUGGUUAACUCCUCCUUUUUCUGAAACAUUCUUUAAUUUCUUUCCCUUUAGGGUUUAUCACAGAUGUUUGCUCCCCCUUAAUGUAGCAAUUAUUAACAGCAAACAACAACAAAGAGAAGACAAUAUUUCAACAAGGAGAAUAUAUAUAUAACCAAAAUAUAAUCGUCAUCAUUACAAAAGGUAGAGAUAUAAGUAAAAGAUGAUACCAUAAAACC
Molecule: long non-coding RNA, 237 nt
Filed under: Elaeis guineensis (African oil palm)
Lineage: Eukaryota; Viridiplantae; Streptophyta; Magnoliopsida; Arecales; Arecaceae
Description: long non-coding RNA (EGUI_LNC082557)
Source: RNAcentral